GGUGGUAGCUCAAUUGGUAGAGCAUUAGCCUUCCAAGCUAACGGUUGUGGGUUCGAGUCUCAUCCGC
RNAcentral lists this transfer RNA (67 nucleotides) under bovine gut metagenome. It matches the Rfam family "tRNA". Rfam says of the family: Transfer RNA (tRNA) molecules are approximately 80 nucleotides in length. Their secondary structure includes four short double-helical elements and three loops (D, anti-codon, and T loops). Further hydrogen bonds mediate the characteristic L-shaped molecular structure. tRNAs have two regions of fundamental functional importance: the anti-codon, which is responsible for specific mRNA codon recognition, and the 3' end, to which the tRNAs corresponding amino acid is attached (by aminoacyl-tRNA synthetases). tRNAs cope with the degeneracy of the genetic code in two manners: having more than one tRNA (with a specific anti-codon) for a particular amino acid; and 'wobble' base-pairing, i.e. permitting non-standard base-pairing at the 3rd anti-codon position. The record is from RNAcentral.